AGCAGCCGCGGUAAUUCCAGCUCCAAUAGCGUAUAUUAAAGUUGUUGCAGUUAAAAAGCUCGUAGUUGAAUUUCGGGGUCAGUAGAUUGGUCAUGCCUCCGGUAUGUACUGGUCUUACUGGCUCCUCCCUCCUGAUGAACCGUAAUGCCAUUAAUUUGGUGUUGCGGGGAGACUGGACUGUUACUUUGAAAAAAUUGAGUGUUUAAAGCAGGCUAACGCUUGAAUACAUUAGCAUGGAAUAAUGAAAUAGGACGUUCGAUCUUAUUUUGUGGUUUCUAAGAUUGACGUAAUGAUUAAUAGGGAUAGUUGGGGCAUUAGUAUUCAAUCGUCAGAGGUGAAAUUCUUGGAUUUAUUGAAGACUAACUACUGCGAAAGCAUUUGCCAAGGAUGUUUCAUUAAUCAAGAACG
Molecule: ribosomal RNA, 408 nt
Filed under: uncultured Glomus
Lineage: Eukaryota; Fungi; Glomeromycota; Glomeromycetes; Glomerales; Glomeraceae
Description: SSU rRNA
Rfam family: Eukaryotic small subunit ribosomal RNA
Source: RNAcentral